RNAcentral lists this ribosomal RNA (500 nucleotides) under uncultured bacterium. RNAcentral describes it as "partial 16S ribosomal RNA". It matches the Rfam family "Bacterial small subunit ribosomal RNA", at positions 30 to 523 of the family's 1533-position model. The record is from RNAcentral.
AUUGAACGCUGGCGGCAUGCCUUACACAUGCAAGUCGAACGGCAGCACGGGAGCAAUCCUGGUGGCGAGUGGCGAACGGGUGAGUAAAGUAUCGGAACGUGCCCAGUCGUGGGGGAUAACGUAGCGAAAGUUACGCUAAUACCGCAUACGAUCUAUGGAUGAAAGCGGGGGAUCGCGAGACCUCGCACGAUUGGAGCGGCCGAUAUCAGAUUAGGUAGUUGGUGGGGUAAAGGCUCACCAAGCCGACGAUCUGUAGCUGGUCUGAGAGGACGACCAGCCACACUGGGACUGAGACACGGCCCAGACUCCUACGGGAGGCAGCAGUGGGGAAUUUUGGACAAUGGGCGAAAGCCUGAUCCAGCCAUGCCGCGUGCAGGAUGAAGGCCUUCGGGUUGUAAACUGCUUUUGUACGGAACGAAAAGGUUUGGCCUAAUAAGCUGAGCUCAUGACGGUACCGUAAGAAUAAGCACCGGCUAACUACGUGCCAGCAGCCGCAGUAA